This is a long non-coding RNA of Carassius carassius (crucian carp), 434 nucleotides long. RefSeq lists it as uncharacterized. NCBI's taxonomy places the organism in Eukaryota, Metazoa, Chordata, Actinopteri, Cypriniformes, Cyprinidae. The record is from RefSeq and is a predicted model, not a curated record. The transcript has 4 exons.
CAGGAUUGUUUGCAGAUAAUGCUGUUCUUCUUUUUUAGAAGUUUUUGGUGAGCCAACUCUCACAAACCUUCCUAAAAACUAAAAGAGCUAUUUCUGAGUCUCAGUGAAUCUUGCCAUGAUCAGCUCUUCCCAGAAGAGAAGGAAGACCAAGGAAAUGAUUUGCUCAGGAUGAGGAAUGAAGACGGCAAUCUUGUGCUCAAACAAACAGAAGUCCUCUGAUGAUCUCAUCAGCCAAAUGAGGGGUUUUGACCAAGUGAUGCUCUUGAAAGGAGUGAAAGAAGAGGAUGUGGUAAAUUGUCUUCAGAGAAAAAGCUUCUCAAAAGGUCUUAAAGCAGCUUGAAGAAUGGUCUGGGAUCUUAGGACUGGGAGAUCCUCUGGCUGAGAACAAGCUACACCACAUCAGUGCUGGAUAUCAACCACAAACUGUUUCGAGA